RNAcentral lists this transfer RNA (63 nucleotides) under Rattus norvegicus (Norway rat). It matches the Rfam family "tRNA". From Rfam's summary of the family: Transfer RNA (tRNA) molecules are approximately 80 nucleotides in length. Their secondary structure includes four short double-helical elements and three loops (D, anti-codon, and T loops). Further hydrogen bonds mediate the characteristic L-shaped molecular structure. tRNAs have two regions of fundamental functional importance: the anti-codon, which is responsible for specific mRNA codon recognition, and the 3' end, to which the tRNAs corresponding amino acid is attached (by aminoacyl-tRNA synthetases). tRNAs cope with the degeneracy of the genetic code in two manners: having more than one tRNA (with a specific anti-codon) for a particular amino acid; and 'wobble' base-pairing, i.e. permitting non-standard base-pairing at the 3rd anti-codon position. Lineage: Eukaryota; Metazoa; Chordata; Mammalia; Rodentia; Muridae. The record is from Rfam by way of RNAcentral.
GGGGAUUUAGCUCCGUGGUAGAGCGUUUGCCUAGAAAGCAAAAGGCCCAGGGUUUGGUCCCCA